This 1777-nucleotide ribosomal RNA is filed under the name Meloidogyne arenaria. RNAcentral describes it as "SSU rRNA". It matches the Rfam family "Eukaryotic small subunit ribosomal RNA". Lineage: Eukaryota; Metazoa; Nematoda; Chromadorea; Rhabditida; Meloidogynidae. The record is from RNAcentral.
UCUGGUUGAUCCUGCCUGAACUGAUGUAUUCAUUUCAAAGAUUAAGCCAUGCAUGUAUAAGUUUAAUCGUUUUAACGAGAAACCGCGAACGGCUCAUUACAAUGGCCAUGAUUUACUUGAUCUUGAUUAUCUAAAUGGAUAACUGUGGAAAAGCUAGAGCUAAUACAUGCACCAAAGCUUUGUCCUCUCGGAAAAGCGCAUUUAUUAGAACAAAACCACGCGGCUUCGGCUGCUUCUUGUUGACUCAGAAUAACUAAGCUGACCGCAUGGCCUUGUGCCGGCGGCGUGUCUUUCAAGCGUCCACUUUAUCAACUUGACGGGAGCAUAAUCGACUCCCGUGGUGGUGACGGAUAACGGAGGAUCAGGGUUCGACUCCGGAGAAGGGGCCUGAGAAAUGGCCACUACGUCUAAGGAUGGCAGCAGGCGCGCAAAUUACCCACUCUCGGCUCGAGGAGGUAGUGACGAGAAAUAACGAGAUCGUUCUCUUUGAGGCCGGUCAUCGGAAUGGGUACAAUUUAAACCCUUUAACGAGUAUCAAGCAGAGGGCAAGUCUGGUGCCAGCAGCCGCGGUAAUUCCAGCUCUGCUAAUACAUAGAAUUAUUGCUGCGGUUAAAAAGCUCGUAGUUGGAUUCGUAUCGGUACCCUGGAACCCUCCGGGUGUUUCUGGGUGUUAUCGAUUUAUCGUAAUGUUCGGUUUUGAGUCCUUAACAGGAUUCUUAACAGGCAUUGCAAGUUUACUUUGAACAAAUCAGAGUGCUUCAAACAGGCGUUUUCGCUUGAAUGAUCGUGCAUGGAAUAAUAGAAAACGAUUUCGGUUCAGUUUUAUUGGUUUUACGGACUGAGAUAAUGGUUAACAGAGACAAACGGGGCAUUUGUAUGGCCCCGUGAGAGGUGAAAUUCUUGGACCGUGGCCAGACAAACUACAGCGAAAGCAUUUGCCAAGAAUGUCUUCAUUAAUCAAGAACGAAAGUCAGAGGUUCGAAGGCGAUCAGAUACCGCCCUAGUUCUGACCGUAAACGAUGCCAACUAGCGAUCCGCCGAUGGAAAUUAUAUUGCCUUGGUGGGGAGCUUCCCGGAAACGAAAGUCUUCCGGUUCCGGGGGAAGUAUGGUUGCAAAGCUGAAACUUAAAGGAAUUGACGGAAGGGCACCACCAGGAGUGGAGCCUGCGGCUUAAUUUGACUCAACACGGGGAAACUCACCCGGCCCGGACACUGUGAGGAUUGACAGAUUGAUAGCUUUUUCAUGAUUCAGUGGAUGGUGGUGCAUGGCCGUUCUUAGUUCGUGGAGUGAUUUGUCUGGUUUAUUCCGAUAACGAGCGAGACUCUAACCUACUAAAUAGCUGGUACAUAAUUUUAGUGUAUACAGCUUCUUAGAGGGAUUUGCGGUGUUCAGCCGAAAGAAAUUGAGCAAUAACAGGUCUGUGAUGCCCUUAGAUGUCCGGGGCUGCACGCGCGCUACACUGGCAAAAUCAACGUGCUUGUCCUACCCCGAAAGGGGCGGGUAAACCAUUGAAAAUUUGCCGUGAUUGGGAUCGGAAAUUGCAAUUAUUUUCCGUGAACGAGGAAUUCCAAGUAAGUGCGAGUCAUCAGCUCGCGUUGAUUACGUCCCUGCCCUUUGUACACACCGCCCGUCGCUGCCCGGGACUGAGCCAUUUCGAGAAAUUUGGGGACCGUUGAUUUAAUUUUUCUAAAUUACUUUGAUGGAAACCAAUUUAAUCGCAGUGGCUUGAACCGGGCAAAAGUCGUAACAAGGUAGCUGUAGGUGAACCUGCUGCUG